UACGAAGGGGGCUAGCGUUGUUCGGAAUUACUGGGCGUAAAGCGUGCGCAGGCGGCUUCUCAAGUCAGGGGUGAAAGCCCAGAGCUCAACUCUGGAAUUGCCUUUGAGACUGAGUGGCUUGAGUACGAGAGAGGUGAGUGGAAUUCCCAGUGUAGAGGUGAAAUUCGUAGAUAUUGGGAGGAACACCGGUGGCGAAGGCGGCGAUCUGGGUAGAUACUGACGCUGAGGUGCGAAAGCGUGGGGAGCAAACAGG
This 253-nucleotide ribosomal RNA is filed under the name uncultured bacterium. RNAcentral describes it as "partial 16S ribosomal RNA". It matches the Rfam family "Bacterial small subunit ribosomal RNA", at positions 524 to 776 of the family's 1533-position model. The record is from RNAcentral.